CAGCAGCCACGGUAAUACGAGGGGGGCAAGCGUUGUUCGGAAUUAUUGGGCGUAAAGGGUGCGUAGGCGGUUUGGCAAGUUUGGUGUGAAACCUUCGGGCUCAACUCGAAGUCUGCAUCGAAAACUGCCGGGCUUGAGUAUGGGAGAGGUGAGUGGAAUUUCCGGUGUAGCGGUGAAAUGCGUAGAUAUCGGAAGGAACACCUGUGGCGAAAGCGGCUCACUGGACCAUAACUGACGCUGAUGCACGAAAGCUAGGGGAGCAAACAGGAUUAGAUACCCCAGUAGUCCCUGUCUCUUAUAA
This 301-nucleotide ribosomal RNA is filed under the name uncultured bacterium. RNAcentral describes it as "partial 16S ribosomal RNA". It matches the Rfam family "Bacterial small subunit ribosomal RNA", at positions 509 to 809 of the family's 1533-position model. The record is from RNAcentral.